This 408-nucleotide ribosomal RNA is filed under the name uncultured bacterium. Its description in RNAcentral is "partial 16S ribosomal RNA". It matches the Rfam family "Bacterial small subunit ribosomal RNA", at positions 28 to 526 of the family's 1533-position model. The record is from RNAcentral.
GACGAACGCUGGCGGCGUGCUUAACACAUGCAAGUCGAACGAAGUGGCGAACGGGUGAGUAACGCGUCAUCAACCUGCCCUUCAGAGGGGGACAACAGUUGGAAACGACUGCUAAUACCGCAUACUGAAGGAGGGGAUUGCGUCGGAUGAGCUAGGUGGAGGGGUAACGGCCCAACAAGGCGAUGAUCAGUAGCCGGUCUGGGAGGAUGAACGGCCACAUUGGGACUGGGACACGGCCCAGACUCCUACGGGAGGCAGCAGUGGGGAAUCUUCCGCAAUGGACGAAAGGCUGACGGAGCAACGCCGCGUGAGUGAUGACGGCCUUCGGGUUGGAAAGCUCUGUUAAUCGGGACGCGGUACCGGAAUAGAAAGCCACGGCUAACUACGUGCCAGCAGCCGCGGUAAUAC